Molecule: unclassified non-coding RNA, 224 nt
Filed under: Hevea brasiliensis (rubber tree)
Lineage: Eukaryota; Viridiplantae; Streptophyta; Magnoliopsida; Malpighiales; Euphorbiaceae
Source: RNAcentral
AGGUUAGAUUCUUUUUAAGAAAUAUUAUUAUAUGCUUUCAAUUUUUUUUUUUUAACUUGCUGUUAAUAAACUGCUGCUUAUUGAAUUGUAUGGAUAGGAAAAUAAUGCAAGUUUCUGUGAAUUAUAUUGCUAUCAAUUCACUAAAUGAUUUGUUGAAAUUAACUUUUGAGUCAUACCAAUUUCUAUAUGAAUUUUGAGAUGUAGUCAUAGAGGUAGAUUUCUCA